RNAcentral lists this transfer RNA (87 nucleotides) under bacterium. RNAcentral describes it as "tRNA-Leu". It matches the Rfam family "tRNA". From Rfam's summary of the family: Transfer RNA (tRNA) molecules are approximately 80 nucleotides in length. Their secondary structure includes four short double-helical elements and three loops (D, anti-codon, and T loops). Further hydrogen bonds mediate the characteristic L-shaped molecular structure. tRNAs have two regions of fundamental functional importance: the anti-codon, which is responsible for specific mRNA codon recognition, and the 3' end, to which the tRNAs corresponding amino acid is attached (by aminoacyl-tRNA synthetases). tRNAs cope with the degeneracy of the genetic code in two manners: having more than one tRNA (with a specific anti-codon) for a particular amino acid; and 'wobble' base-pairing, i.e. permitting non-standard base-pairing at the 3rd anti-codon position. The record is from RNAcentral.
GCUCGAGUGGCGGAAUAGGUAGACGCACAGGACUUAAAAUCCUGCGAGGUAACACUCAUGCCGGUUCAAGUCCGGCCUCGAGCACCA